GAUGAACGCUGGCGGCGUGCCUAAUACAUGCAAGUCGAGCGAACGGACGGGAAGCUUGCUUCUCUGAUGUUAGCGGCGGACGGGUGAGUAACACGUGGAUAACCUACCUAUAAGACUGGGAUAACUUCGGGAAACCGUAGCUAAUACCGGAUAAUAUUUUGAACCGCAUGGUUCAAAAGUGAAAGACGGUCUUGCUGUCACUUAUAGAUGGAUCCGCGCUGCAUUAGCUAGUUGGUAAGGUAACGGCUUACCAAGGCAACGAGGCAUACCCGACCUGAGGGGGAGAUCGGCCACACGGGAAGUGAGACACGGUCCAGACUCCUACGGGAGGCAGCAGUAGGGAAUCUUCCGCGAUGGGCGAAAGCCUGACGGAGCAACACCGCGUGAGUGAUGAAGGUCUUAGGAUCGUAAAACUCUGUUAUUAGGGAAGAACAUAUGUGUAAGUAACUGUGAACAUCUUGACGGUACCUAAUCAGAAAGCCACGGCUAACUACGUG
Molecule: ribosomal RNA, 497 nt
Filed under: uncultured bacterium
Lineage: Bacteria
Description: partial 16S ribosomal RNA
Rfam family: Bacterial small subunit ribosomal RNA
Source: RNAcentral